CCUAUAGGGGCUGUCCUCCUUCUGAGCCCUCCUGGUAGCAUGCCGCCUGUCCUCUUUGCUACUUGUUUCACAAUGCAGGGACCCUGGGAUGUCACCCAAGACCCAGUUUUGCUCUUUGGGCACACGGAGACCUUCUCAGAGAGAUCCGAGACUACCUCCAACCCCCAGGCCUCGUCUAGAUGGGAUGGCAGAGAUGGGACAGCUCUGAAUUUCCAGGAAGGAACUCCGUCAUUCUCACCCCCUCCCAAUACGAAGUUUCAGGGAGGUAACUUGUGAGAAGUAGAGUUUAUAUCAUAAUCACAGACUCUAGAGACAGACCAUCUGGAUUCAAAUACCAGUUCUGCCACUGUCCAGCCAUGUGACCUCAGGGACCUUUCUGCUUUUCCAGCCCCAGGUGGAAAUGAGCAUGUCCAUCUUCAACUGGGCUAGCUCUAUUUCUUUAGAGCUGGAAAACACUUUGGGCAAUGUGAAGCUUAUGGAAGGUUAGAUAAGAUGCAUCAGCCAUACCGCUG
This is a long non-coding RNA of Canis lupus familiaris (dog), 512 nucleotides long. RefSeq lists it as uncharacterized. The record is from RefSeq and is a predicted model, not a curated record. Lineage: Eukaryota; Metazoa; Chordata; Mammalia; Carnivora; Canidae. The transcript is spliced from 3 exons.